Molecule: transfer RNA, 61 nt
Filed under: Nardus stricta
Lineage: Eukaryota; Viridiplantae; Streptophyta; Magnoliopsida; Poales; Poaceae
Description: tRNA-Thr
Source: RNAcentral
UUUUAAGUUAGUGGUAGAGUGAUGCUGUGGUAAAACAUAAGUUAUCGGUUCGAAUCUGAUA